AUGAGAGUUUCUAAUUUGUCCUAUGAGAUUCUAUGGCAAGAUUUCUUCUUCUUCUUCUUCUUCAAGUUUCAUCAUUGCUCUCCAAGUUUAUCCAUGGUCUCCUCUUGUAAAUUGCCUUACUGUUUUCCACACCAUCACAUGAGUAUAAACAAGAUAUUUUCAAAGAGUUUUCCAUAUUUCAUCCUUAGGGUGGUGUAG
Molecule: non-coding RNA, 198 nt
Organism: Vicia faba (fava bean)
Lineage: Eukaryota; Viridiplantae; Streptophyta; Magnoliopsida; Fabales; Fabaceae
Source: the annotation of a GenBank genome assembly